This 500-nucleotide ribosomal RNA is filed under the name uncultured bacterium. RNAcentral's name for it is "partial 16S ribosomal RNA". It matches the Rfam family "Bacterial small subunit ribosomal RNA", at positions 30 to 523 of the family's 1533-position model. The record is from RNAcentral.
AUUGAACGCUGGCGGCAUGCCUUACACAUGCAAGUCGAACGGCAGCACGGGAGCAAUCCUGGUGGCGAGUGGCGAACGGGUGAGUAAAGUAUCGGAACGUGCCCAGUCGUGGGGGAUAACGUAGCGAAAGUUACGCUAAUACCGCAUACGAUCUAUGGAUGAAAGCGGGGGAUCGCAAGACCUCGCGCGAUUGGAGCGGCCGAUAUCAGAUUAGGUAGUUGGUGGGGUAAAGGCUCACCAAGCCGACGAUCUGUAGCUGGUCGGAGAGGACGACGAGCCACACUGGGACUGAGACACGGCCCAGACUCCUACGGGAGGCAGCAGUGGGGAAUUUUGGACAAUGGGCGAAAGCCUGAUCCAGCCAUGCCGCGUGCAGGAUGAAGGCCUUCGGGUUGUAAACUGCUUUUGUACGGAACGAAAAGGUUUGGCCUAAUAAGCUGAGCUCAUGACGGUACCGUAAGAAUAAGCACCGGCUAACUACGUGCCAGCCGCCGACGUAA